ACAAGAUAAAACUAUGGCAAAUGCCAAAGGCGAUAUCGACCAUCUUCCCAUAUAUGACCUGGAGGACAAAUUCAAGGACAAUUUCAGCUACCAGAUAAAAAGAUUCGUGGACUAGAAAGGCUCCAAUAGGAAAAUGAGGGAAGUGUUGAAGAAUUUUCUAAAGGCCAUUUCAAAUUCGGGAUCAAUGCAAUGAGGAUGGACUAUAUAUCAUGAAUGGGCACCUGCUGUGCAGUUGGAGCUUUGUUUAACAAGAUGAUGGUCAUGUUACCGUAGUUUCCCACAAAUUCUCCAUCUGACGCUUCAUGAUUGACUCAUGCGAUUCAAAUUCUUGACUAGUGGCCCAAACAUAUACUUGAUGGCGAGUGGCCUAACAGUGUCAUGGCAAACGUAAGCGGCAGUUGCAUAUCUUGCAAUUCUUUGGAUUUGGUGCUAAUGGUUCAUCCAUUCAUCUCGAGCAACACUCA
Molecule: long non-coding RNA, 464 nt
Organism: Sorghum bicolor (sorghum)
Lineage: Eukaryota; Viridiplantae; Streptophyta; Magnoliopsida; Poales; Poaceae
Exons: 3
Source: RefSeq, a predicted model, not a curated record